CCUACGGGUGACAGCAGUGGGGAAUAUUGCACAAUGGGGGAAACCCUGAUGCAGCGACGCCGCGUGAGUGAAGAAGUAAUUCGUUACGUAAAGCCCUAUCAGCAGGGAAGAAAAUGACGGUACCUGAGUAAGAAGCCCCGGCUAACUACGUGCCAGCAGCCGCGGGCAUACCUAGGGGGCAAGCGUUAUCCGGAUUUACUGGGUGUAAAGGGGGCGUAGACGGUUGGGCAAGGUUGGAGUGAAAUGCCGCAGGUUAACUGCGGAACUGCUGUGGAAACUGGCGAACUAGAGUGCGGGAGGGGUAUGCGGAAUUCGUAGUGUAGCGGUGAAAUGCGUAGAUAUUAGGAGGAACACCGGUGGCGAAGGCGGCUUACUGGACCGUAACUGACGUUGAGGCUCGAAAGCGUGGGGAGCAAACAGGAUUAGAUACCCGAGUAGUC
This 440-nucleotide ribosomal RNA is filed under the name uncultured bacterium. RNAcentral's name for it is "partial 16S ribosomal RNA". It matches the Rfam family "Bacterial small subunit ribosomal RNA", at positions 338 to 795 of the family's 1533-position model. The record is from RNAcentral.